This 301-nucleotide ribosomal RNA is filed under the name uncultured bacterium. RNAcentral's name for it is "partial 16S ribosomal RNA". It matches the Rfam family "Bacterial small subunit ribosomal RNA", at positions 509 to 807 of the family's 1533-position model. The record is from RNAcentral.
CAGUCGCCGCGGUAAUACGUAGGUGGCAAGCGUUAUCCGGAAUUAUUGGGCGUAAAGCGCGCGUAGGCGGUUUUUUAAGUCUGAUGUGAAAGCCCACGGCUCAACCGUGGAGGGUCAUUGGAAACUGGAAAACUUGAGUGCAGAAGAGGAAAGUGGAAUUCCAUGUGUAGCGGUGAAAUGCGCAGAGAUAUGGAGGAACACCAGUGGCGAAGGCGGCUUUCUGGUCUGCAACUGACGCUGAUGUGCGAAAGCGUGGGGAUCAAACAGGAUUAGAUACCCGCGUAGUCCCUGUCUCUUAUAC